Molecule: ribosomal RNA, 580 nt
Filed under: Trichoderma harzianum
Lineage: Eukaryota; Fungi; Ascomycota; Sordariomycetes; Hypocreales; Hypocreaceae
Description: eukaryotic LSU rRNA
Rfam family: 5.8S ribosomal RNA (bases 188-341)
Source: RNAcentral
ACCCAAUGUGAACGUUACCAAACUGUUGCCUCGGCGGGAUCUCUGCCCCGGGUGCGUCGCAGCCCCGGACCAAGGCGCCCGCCGGAGGACCAACCAAAACUCUUAUUGUAUACCCCCUCGCGGGUUUUUUUUUUUUAUAAUCUGAGCCUUCUCGGCGCCUCUCGUAGGCGUUUCGAAAAUGAAUCAAAACUUUCAACAACGGAUCUCUUGGUUCUGGCAUCGAUGAAAAACGCAGCGAAAUGCGAUAAGUAAUGUGAAUUGCAAAAUUCAGUGAAUCAUCAAAUCUUUGAACGCACAUUGCGCCCGCCAGUAUUCUGGCGGGCAUGCCUGUCCAAGCGUCAUUUCAACCCUCGAACCCCUCCGGGGGGUCGGCGUUGGGGAUCGGCCCUCCCUUAGCGGGUGGCCGUCUCCGAAAUACAGUGGCGGUCUCGCCGCAGCCUCUCCUGCGCAGUAGUUUGCACACUCGCAUCGGGAGCGCGGCGCGUCCACAGCCGUUAAACACCCAACUUCUGAAAUGUUGACCUCGGAUCAGGUAGGAAUACCCGCUGAACUUAAGCAUAUCGAAAGUCGGAAAGAAAUG